CAUUUUCUUCUCCCAAAAUGGUAGUAGCCUUUAACAUGAAAAAGAAUGUACUAACCUUUAUCUUAGUCGGUAUGAUAGCCAGGGCUUUGCCAAGAUACAUAGAGGCUCAAAUUUGUGGUUGCGCCAAAGAUCAAUGCUGCAGCCAAUGGGGUUAUUGUGGUACUAGCUUUGACUAUUGUGGCACGAGUUGCCUAGAGGGCCCUUGUUACACCUCACCUCUAGUGAAUGGUGUUAAUUUGCCUGAUAUUGUGACAAACAAAUUCUUCGAUUGGAUACUUGAUCAGGCCGAAGUAAGUUGUCCUGGGAAGGACUUUUACACACGAGCAACGUUUCUUGAAGCUCUCAAAUCAUUUUAUGGAUUUGGUAAACGCAAGAUUGCAGCCUUCUUUGGCCAUGUUACACAAGCGAUUGGACAUUUUGAUGAGCCUUAGGAGGAUUUUGUUGAAGCACCCUACAACUCAAAAUAACGGCCAUGGGCUUACUAUUAUAGAGGUUAUUAUCUAUAGUCAAAGGUUUAUUGUUAUGUUUGGCCUUGGAUUAAAUGAUUCUUGUGAUUGGCGCAACCAUGCUUGAGUGGUGGUCACUAUAUACGGACGUCAUCAGCGGCGUGGGCCACCCGAGGUCAGACUUGGUCAGGCUGCUAAUGAGAGACAGUAGCGUAAAAUAUCUGGGCAUCAUUUUUGUAUGACAGGUCCCUCGGGACAGCGCCAAACCUGUUGGGAAGGGGUUAACAUAUUGGGUAGACCAAACGGAAUUGAACUAUGACACGAUUUUCUUGUUAUGACAUGUAUUUUAUUUAUAUAUAUUGCAUUCAUGCUCAUUUUAUCAAAUGAAGAAUUAUAAUUGUACAUUUUUGUACUUGACUUAUACCUUUACUUCUGAGUUCACUUCAUGAUAAUAUGUGCAUCAUGUAUAUUAUCGCUUACUAAGUC
Molecule: long non-coding RNA, 932 nt
Organism: Alnus glutinosa
Lineage: Eukaryota; Viridiplantae; Streptophyta; Magnoliopsida; Fagales; Betulaceae
Exons: 3
Source: RefSeq, a predicted model, not a curated record